RNAcentral lists this ribosomal RNA (253 nucleotides) under uncultured bacterium. Its description in RNAcentral is "partial 16S ribosomal RNA". It matches the Rfam family "Bacterial small subunit ribosomal RNA", at positions 524 to 776 of the family's 1533-position model. The record is from RNAcentral.
UACGUAGGCAGCAAGCGUUGUUCGGAAUUACUGGGCGUAAAGAGUGUGUAGGCGGUGCUCCAAGUCUGGUGUGAAAUCUCCCGGCUUAACUGGGAGGGUGCAUUAGAAACUGGAAUGCUAGAGGAUGGGAGAGGUAAGCGGAAUUCCUGGUGUGGCGGUGAAAUGCGUAGAUAUCAGGAGGAACACCUGUGGUGUAGACAGCUUACUGGACCAUUUCUGACGCUGAGACACGAAAGCGUGGGUAGCAAACAGG